CUUACCUACUCUUGACAUCCAGAGAACUUUCCAGAGAUGGAUUGGUGCCUUCGGGAACUCUGAGACAGGUGCUGCAUGGCUGUCGUCAGCUCGUGUUGUGAAAUGUUGGGUUAAGUCCCGCAACGAGCGCAACCCUUAUCCUUUGUUGCCAGCGGUCCGGCCGGGAACUCAAAGGAGACUGCCAGUGAUAAACUGGAGGAAGGUGGGGAUGACGUCAAGUCAUCAUGGCCCUUACGAGUAGGGCUACACACGUGCUACAAUGGCGCAUACUUAAGAGAAGCGACCUCGCGAGAGCAAGCGGACCUCAUAAAGCGCCUCUAUCCGGAUUGGAGUCUGCAACUCGACUCCAUGAAGUCGGAAUCGCUAGUAAUCGUAGAUCAGAAU
Molecule: ribosomal RNA, 384 nt
Filed under: Enterobacter sp. FER27
Lineage: Bacteria; Pseudomonadati; Pseudomonadota; Gammaproteobacteria; Enterobacterales; Enterobacteriaceae
Description: bacterial SSU rRNA
Rfam family: Bacterial small subunit ribosomal RNA
Source: RNAcentral